RNAcentral lists this small nuclear RNA (19 nucleotides) under Arabidopsis thaliana (thale cress). RNAcentral's name for it is "snRNA_18120". The record is from RNAcentral. Lineage: Eukaryota; Viridiplantae; Streptophyta; Magnoliopsida; Brassicales; Brassicaceae.
UCGCGCUUGGUUGAAAAGC